Molecule: ribosomal RNA, 291 nt
Filed under: uncultured bacterium
Lineage: Bacteria
Description: partial 16S ribosomal RNA
Rfam family: Bacterial small subunit ribosomal RNA
Source: RNAcentral
UAGGGAAUCUUCCACAAUGGACGCAAGUCUGAUGGAGCAACGCCGCGUGAGUGAAGAAGGUUUUCGGAUCGUAAAGCUCUGUUGUUGGUGAAGAAGGAUAGAGGUAGUAACUGGCCUUUAUUUGACGGUAAUCAACCAGAAAGUCACGGCUAACUACGUGCCAGCAGCCGCGGUAAUACGUAGGUGGCAAGCGUUGUCCGGAUUUAUUGGGCGUAAAGCGAGCGCAGGCGGAAGAAUAAGUCUGAUGUGAAAGCCCUCGGCUUAACCGAGGAAUUGCAUCGGAAACUGUUU